AGAAAACAAAAUCUUCUUGAAAUCCAGAACCAAAAGCACAAAUUUCAUGAUGAAAUAAAGCAGGUCCGAUAUAAAAUAAACGAACACCUUGACACUCUAGAGCAACGGCUACUCCAGGAUCUAUAUGAUGCCGAAAAGAAAGUUAAAUCACAACUUGAGGAAUUACUAGCAAAACUCGCUGAAAAUACAGAAAAAGUUAUUUCAAUGGAAAAUAAUGUUUCAGCCAUAAAAGAUUAUGCGUCAGACCUACA
This 251-nucleotide long non-coding RNA is filed under the name Mytilus galloprovincialis (Mediterranean mussel). Lineage: Eukaryota; Metazoa; Mollusca; Bivalvia; Mytilida; Mytilidae. The record is from RNAcentral.